UGAUUUCUUCCUCUUUUAGCAAAGAUACGCUCUAUGUUUGUAAGAAGAUUGAACAUUGUCCAUGCUUGCAAGCCACAAGGUUCUGGGACGGAAGCCACCGUGUGCUUGCUCACAGGCCACCGCUGGCCACCGCGGGCCAACGUGUCGCCGUCAGAGGCCAUUAUGUCACCAUUUGCAAGCCUCCGGAUCACCGUUCGCCGGUCACGGCUUCCCUGCUUCUAGGCCUUUGUUUUAAGUAAGGUGCACCCACACAGAAAGCACCAAGGAAAGCAACUAUUGAAUUAUUUCGCAACUCCAUAUCUACAAAAUCCUCCAUGACUGUGUCUGAAAGAAUAUUGUUUCAGGCCCCCAUGCUCUUCUCAAAACGGUGUCUGAACCAAUUCUGGGAAGGUUUUGAAGAUAGUCACUAUGUUAACAUUAAUUGUGUUGUUGGUGAUACCAUGCUAAACUCAUUCACUAUCAAGGUACAUUUCUAAUUAGAAUGUAUAAAUUAGUGCCUAAUGAUCUUUUUUUAUUUCUUGGAGUGUAUAACUGUGUUCAGUCCAUAGCUAACAUUCUAGCAUUUAAAAAGAAAUUUGUUUGUUAAGGACAUAAAGCACCGGUUAUGACAUGUAUAACUGUUAGAGGAAAUAAUAGUAUAGCGUUUUAUGAAA
Long non-coding RNA from Vigna radiata var. radiata (mung bean), 653 nucleotides. RefSeq lists it as uncharacterized. The record is from RefSeq and is a predicted model, not a curated record. Lineage: Eukaryota; Viridiplantae; Streptophyta; Magnoliopsida; Fabales; Fabaceae. The transcript has 2 exons.